ACUUAUAAGCUGCUCAGCCAAACAUCCUCUAAAUGAUGCGAACGUGAGCCUGAAAUCUCGAGCAAUGAACGCUUGAUAUUAUAAGCUAGCCAGUGUGGAAUUACAAAUGAAGAAUUCAACUUGAGAAGCUGAGCCUCAUGUUUAUGCCAACAAACGAAACAUAAGGACCAUGGGAAAUUGCAGCAAUUGAAUCAUUAAAGGAUCAAGAAAGCGUUGGACCAGAGUGGUUGAUCAACUGAUGUGGAUCAAUCAGAGGAUGCCAACACCGUAAGCACCUCAUACUUAUUCUCACAAUCGUAAUUUGCAUAAUAAAAUCAAAUGUACGCAUUCUUCGCCAAAAAAUUAUUCAGCGCCCACUGCUUUAGUACUGUUUUUAAGCGAUAAUCAAGCUCUUUGUUCCAAUGGAUUCUAAAAUCACAUAUAUUUCAAGAUGUGCGAUGUAGAUGCUAAAAAAAAAAAGUAAAAAAGAAAUGCGAUGUAGAAAGUGCGCGCAAGUUGUUUGACAAAAUGCCCCGAUAGAAUGCAGUCACAUAGAACUGCAUGAUUUAUGAAGCUCGACGAAUCCCUUAAAUUAGCAUCAAUUGCUUGCUCAUAUUCCUGCAUAUCUCUGGGAAACAUUGCUUAGAGUUUGCAGGAUACAUGAAAAUUAUGAAUUAAGUGAUUUAAUUGCAGAAAAAACUUUACACCAAGGACCUUGUGAUGUUGGGUUGUGUAUGCUUCAGUCAAACAUAUAUGCUGCACGUGACAUGUGCAAGAAUACAGCACAUACUAGAGAAAAAGUAAAACAAAGUGAAUUGAUGAAAUCAUGAAAGAAAUGGGAAGUAACUGGAUUGACCUACAUGGAAGUGUUUCUUGCUCCUCAUAUAAUGAUUAGUCUCAUAUAUGAACCUAAAGACAUACAAAGAGUUGGAGCGCGCUCUAUACUCAUAAAACAGUUUGGUUAGAUUAGCAUGUUUUGCUACAUUAUCCAGGAAUUUGAAAUUUCGGUGCUAAAUUCUGUGAUUAUAAAAUUUGUCUUGUACUCUCACUAGUUUUCUUCUGCACUGAUUCUGUAGUUUCUUGAAACAGUAGACUUUCAUUGGUUUCCAGGUGAAAGUGACAGUUCUGAUCUUGAAGUGUUUUCUUUUGUGAACUAUAGGAGGUGACUGUUGAGACAGCUGGGAAUUCAAACAUUUUUGUAGAUUAUACUGUUUUGUGAUUCACUGGAACUUCUCUGGCCACACAUUUAUUUGCAAUUCAAGAGGUAAAAGCUGAUUUCUGUUACUCCAUAGAGAUGUGACCUUACAAAUUUCUGUUAGUUAUUUCACUGGUUAUUCAUCUGACUUUAUUUGAACAACUAUACAAGCAUGCAGAUAUUACCUAAUAGUUCACUGUUCUCAUUCCACAUCAUUGAAAAAACUAAUGUACACUUACGGUGUGUUUACUUUGAUGGAUAAAUUUAUUAUGGGAAAGGAGGGAUAACAAAANUUUAUGUCUUUAAAUGUCUCAUUUCUCUUCCAACAUUUUACACAAAAGAGAAGCUCCACCAUUUUUCCUUCCUUAUUUCACUUCAAGGAUGGAUAAUAUUAUCCAUCCAUUUUCUUUNAUCCAUCAAAGUAAACGCACCCUUAGUGAUAUAUGUAAAUGUACUGCACGUAACUGAUGACGUAAGCAUGUACAAGUGAAGGCAGACUAUAGAUAGUAGUAUAAGCUGUAAACGGCACAAAUUAGAGCGAACGUGCUAGUCUCAGAGUCUUUUAGCUCAAGUUAUGAAGAUUGUUCCAAAUAAGGUGGAAUUGCCAUUAUAAGACAAAAUAUGAUCUGUCCUCUGUAAAUUAUGCAGGGAUGAAACUCUGACUAUAAAUUUAUUGUUUGCUUCAAAGUUUGCAAAUAUGGCUAUUGCGCCCAUGAUAUGUGUUAUAUGGCUCACCAGUUUUUAAUCACUUCAUUUUCAUGCUAUAAAAUUUAGUUUAUGAACAAAUAACAUUUCUCUAUAUGGUUCUGCACUGAUGAAGCAGAAUGAUAUUGAUUAAAUUUCUUCUUAAAUACUUCUAUUUUGUGAACUGUGAAGUUGUGUAAUGUCAAAUGAUUGAAGACUUCACGGAUCAUGACUGUGGGACAGUGACGAUACUCUAAAUUAGCAUCUGAUGGCUGCUGAUUGAAAUAGGAAGUAUUUUGGACAAUUCUGCUCUAUUUGACACAUGUAUGUGGAAAAAAAUCCUUCUUACAUAAGCAAACAAACUGGGUUUGGACAGCUGGAUAGUUAGGAUAUCUUUUACUUAGAACCUCUGUAGAUGCUUAUUUUUAAUAACGUUUUCCUACCUUUAGUGGAUGAGUGAACAAGACAAACACAUAAGUUCUGGUUGGUUUUGUUUUGUAUAAUAUCCUAGUCAGAAUGCAAACAGAAUGAUGGUGGAGUGGUUUGAGGGUUAAUACUUUAGUGGUUGAAAAGUUUACCGUAAAGUUGUUCAAAGACUUUGAUAGAUGGGCUUAAACAAUAACAUGCUUUACAAAUCCAUCUGAAAGGUUUCAUCUUGGCAUUUUCUUGGUUGCUGAAGUUUAUUUUAAUACUUGUUCAUAUCAAAGACUACUCCUAAUUAAUAAUCGUUGUUUUUAUAGGGUCAGUUCAAGCAAUGACGUGCCUUCAGGAAAUUCUCUAUGUUUGGUGCAUUUUGCUUUUGUGUAAAAGUAGAUAUUACGUGCAGACCCUGAUUGGCUGAACGGGGACCUCCUUUCCAAACAGCAGAUGAUGCUAAAGGCUAUUGAUUCCUCAAUUGGUCUUUUCAAGUACGAGAACAUUCAUGCUUUAGGCUAAAGUAAACAAAUUUCCAAAGGCAUGCAUGCCCUAUAUAUAUUCCAUUUUCUUAAAAGUCCUGAUCUGCUAAAUAGUAAUUAAAAAAUAUGCGUCGCUAAUAUAUUAGAUAUUCUAUAGAAAUAAGUUUGAGAAACAAAAUAUCCCAAAAGAAGAAUUUGAUGAAUAAACACAGCCGCACUUGAGCAACAUUUUGAGCCUCAUCUCACCGUUGCUAGGUGUAUUUUGAAGUUUACUUCUUUACCUUAUGCACGUCUCUGCAAUUUUACGAGAUCCAAAAGCUUCAUUGUAAUGUCCGAGAGAUGCUGAAUCUUUGAAAGCUUCACCAUUAAGUCUAAACUCUUUGAUCAGUGCAAGGAUUAGUUAGCAAUAGCAUAAAUUAUAUAUCUAUGACCAAUGUUCUGUACUUUUAUCUCUAUACAGUGAACUAAUUAGUGGAUUACUGUUGUAUCUAACUUAUGCUUUUAGACAGCUUGUUUUGGACUUUGGACUCUUGUUUAUUAGCAUACAUAGGCGUGCAAUGGAGUUCUGUAACAUACAUUGGUUCAUCUUGAAACAUGCAAUUGUUUUCAGCGUUAAAAUUUAUAAAAACUUUUCAUGUAGGAAUUAUUUCAAAGUCAGAUAUCAUUAAAACAUUGUUACUGUUAUGCAAAAGGACAGGAUUCAUAAUUUAUGUAGUUUUCCUUGGUUGCUGCUGAUACAUUGCAAGAAGAUCUAGGUCUCGGUAGACAUAAUAAGCUUAUGGUGUAGCUUAUACUCUUGAAUGAGUUGGCAGUUCAGUACGACCAUGCUAAGACACUAAGGGGAUGUUAGGAUUGGAGGAUGAUUAAAAUAAUCAACCCAACUUUGGGGUGAUAGAUAAUCAUCCAAUUGCAUGAUUAGGGUGCGAGCUUAGUUAUCCAUCACGGGCCGAAUCAUGCAAACCAAACACUUGAUUAAGUUGGAUUGUUUUAUCAAUCAUGUCUUAUCACUCAAACCAAACGCCUCCUACAGAAAAAACUUGGUGGGAGUGAUCCUCUGAUCUUAGUCAUAGCUUCAUCUAGCGAAGUUUACGCCUGCAACAUGUAGUGAUCCUUUGAUGAGCCUUAUGCCAUUGCUUGACUUAUACUUAAAGUGAACAGGAAGGACAUACCCUGUGGACACUAAACCAAUUUCUUGUAAUUGAUGCAGGCAUCUUGAGAAGUAUCGGAAUCUUUAUGGGGUGAAUUGAGAAUGGAGAGAAAAUGUUUGAAACUAAUGUAAGCAAAGAGGAGGACCUCAUGUUCAUUUUACAAGUUAAGGAAAAAAUGUAUUUUCCUCUUUUUGCUUCAUGUGUUCAAUUUUCAUCUGAAACUGUUUCAGAUUCGCUACAGAGUUUUGAAGAAUUCAACUACAAGAUGGACCAAUGCUCUGGUAGGCUCAUCCUUGGUAAUAUGUGGACUGCAAUGACUUCCAUACCUUGCGGAGGCUC
This 4241-nucleotide long non-coding RNA is filed under the name Salvia miltiorrhiza (redroot sage). RNAcentral describes it as "long non-coding RNA (SMIL_LNC008463)". Lineage: Eukaryota; Viridiplantae; Streptophyta; Magnoliopsida; Lamiales; Lamiaceae. The record is from RNAcentral.